AUUGAACGCUGGCGGCAUGCCUUACACAUGCAAGUCGAACGGCAGCAUGGAAGAGCUUGCUCUUCUGAUGGCGAGUGGCGAACGGGUGAGUAAAGCAUCGGAACGUACCGUGUAGUGGGGGAUAACGUAGCGAAAGUUACGCUAAUACCGCAUACGCACUGAGGUGGAAAGCAGGGGAUCGCAAGACCUUGCGCUAUACGAGCGGCCGAUGUCAGAUUAGCUAGUUGGUAGGGUAAAGGCCUACCAAGGCGACGAUCUGUAGCGGGUCUGAGAGGAUGAUCCGCAACACUGGGACUGAGACACGGCCCAGACUCCUACGGGAGGCAGCAGUGGGGAAUUUUGGACAAUGGGGGAAACCCUGAUCCAGCCAUGCCGCGUGAGUGAAGAAGGCCUUCGGGUUGUAAAGCUCUUUCGGCUGGGAAGAAAUCGCACAGACUAAUACUCUGUGUGGAUGACGGUACCAGCACAAGAAGCACCGACUAACUACGUGCCAGCAGCCGCAGUAA
This 506-nucleotide ribosomal RNA is filed under the name uncultured bacterium. Its description in RNAcentral is "partial 16S ribosomal RNA". It matches the Rfam family "Bacterial small subunit ribosomal RNA", at positions 30 to 523 of the family's 1533-position model. The record is from RNAcentral.